UGGCAGGAAUUCCUGGAGCCAGCAAAUGAGUAAUGUUAAACCUAUGAUUAGAUGAUGAGGCCAUCAAAGACACUAGACCCUAAUGCUACAUUCCACUUUAUUCCUGUGAAUUGCAGUAAAACCAAAGACCAAGGAGAAGGCAUUGUAAGUUAUUCCUUCCCUCAAGUAAAAAGCUUCAAAAGCUGUUUAAAAAAAAGCAGCAUGACAUGAAACUCAAAGGCCUUAAUGGAUCUUUUGGAAUUUCCCUUGAACCCAGGACUUAACCAUUAGGUAACAAAUUUUUCAAGUGCCCUGCAGGAGAAGGUUUGAAGUUCAAACCCCACUGAGGAUUCCUGCCAGUGAUGUAUUUUUCUUUAACUUCUCCCUAACCAAUAUCCAUCUUGGCUAAAAGAAAAACAGGAUCUAAUGAUUUCCUUAUGGGUAAAGGCUGGAAGAAAUGCAACCUAUGGACUGGCAAACAGCAGCAAUCACUGUGAAGUAAGAGCUCCUCAAUCGAUGCAAGGUAUGGAGUGUUUAAAGUUAUGACGUGAAGAUUGAGAAACUGAAGCCUAUACAGUAUCAUUUGGAGAAAAGACUUCAAUAAUAGGACUCUCUUAUGGUAUUAUAUGGGUACCUAAAAAGGGGAUUACAAACAGAAUUUGAACUCAACAGAAACAGAAUUUUUAAGAAGGAAGCUGGGAACAUACAGUCUAUGGAGGAUAAUCAAAGUUGUGCCUUUGGUUGCUAAGAUGAAGGGAAGAGCUCAGAUCAGCAAAGAGGAAGUGAUUGUCUGAUCAUGAUGAAGAUACAAUGCUCUACGCAUCAACAUUUCAUAGGAUGUCUCCUAUGAAGGUGCAUGACUGAGGUGUAUUCUCCCAAAAGAGGAGAUCUGCAGAGGCAGUUUUCACAGAAGCAAAGACCAUGCUGACAAAUCUUACAAAAGAAGAGCAGCAUAGCAGAUCAGUGUUUUAGGAGAACAGUAAUUCUCUUCCUUCCACUAGUAUUAAUAUUUUACUAUCUUACAACAUAAUUUACAACUAAAAUUUAAUCACAAAUCUGAACAUGUCAUGCUCAUCUAUUUUUGUGCUUCAACAGAACCAUCAUAACAAGUCAGUAAAAACUCUGUGAUAUUUUAGUUUAUUACAUCAUGGUCAGAUCCAGGUUAAUUUCUACAUUUAUUCAUUGUAGACUUAGCUCAUUGAUCUGUAAGUAAUUAUCUUAUGCACACUGUCUGUGUUGUUCUUUACAG
Pelodiscus sinensis (Chinese soft-shelled turtle) is the source of this 1228-nucleotide non-coding RNA. The record is from RefSeq and is a predicted model, not a curated record. Lineage: Eukaryota; Metazoa; Chordata; Testudines; Trionychidae.